GCGCCUGUAGCUCAGUGGAUCAGAGCACUGGUCUUCGGAACCAGGUGUCGGGGGUUCGAAUCCCUCCAGGCGUA
This 74-nucleotide transfer RNA is filed under the name Chloroflexota bacterium. Its description in RNAcentral is "Chloroflexi bacterium tRNA-Arg". It matches the Rfam family "tRNA". Rfam says of the family: Transfer RNA (tRNA) molecules are approximately 80 nucleotides in length. Their secondary structure includes four short double-helical elements and three loops (D, anti-codon, and T loops). RNAcentral also lists the same sequence under 1 other name. The record is from RNAcentral. Lineage: Bacteria; Bacillati; Chloroflexota.